UGAGUGCGAGCUGCUACGGCAGCGAAGUUGGUGACGUCAAGCUUCCAAGAAAAGCCCUAUACCCGUUAAGGCAUGAUUGCCUGUACCCGAAACCGACACAGGUGGGGUGGUAGAGAAUACCGAGGGGCGCGAGGUAACUCUCUCUAAGGAACUCGGCAAAAUGACCCCGUAACUUCGGGAGAAGGGGUGCCACCGCAAGGUGGUCGCAGUGAAUAGGCCCAGGCGACUGUUUACCAAAAACACAGGUCUCCGCUAAGUCGCAAGACGAUGUAUGGGGGCUGACGCCUGCCCAGUGCCGGAAGGUUAAGGAAGUUGGUCAGCGAAAGCGAAGCUAGCGACUGAAGCCCCGGUGAACGGCGGCCGUAACAAUAACGGUCCUAAGGUAGCGAAAUUCCUUGUCGGGUAAGUUCCGACCCGCACGAAAGGCGUAACGAUCUGGGCGCUGUCUCGGAGAGAGGCUCGGCGAAAUAGAAUUGUCUGUGAAGAUGCGGACUACGUGCACCUGGACAGAAAGACCCUAUGAAGCUUUACUGUAGCUUGGUAUUGUGUCCGGGCUCUGAAUGCGCAGGAUAGGUGGGAGGCUUUGAUCCAUUGCUUGCGGGUGAUGGUGAGCCAACGGUGAGAUACCACUCUUUCAGAGCUAGGAUUCUAACGGUCACCCGUCAUCCGGGGACCGGACAGUAUCUGGUGGGCAGUUUGACUGGGGCGGUCGCCUCCUAAAAGGUAACGGAGGCGCGCAAAGGUCUGCUCAGGCUGGUUGGAAAUCAGCCGACGAGUGCAAAAGCAGAAGCAGGCUUGACUGUGAGACCUACAAGUCGAACAGGGGGGAAACCCGGCUUUAGUGAUCCGACGGUUCUGAGUGGAAGAGCCGUCGCUCAACGGAUAAAAGUUACUCUAGGAUAACAGGCUGAUCUCCCCCAAGAGUUCACAUCGACGGGGAGGUUUGGCACCUCGAUGUCGGCUCAUCGCAACCUGGGGCUGAAGUCGGUCCCAAGGGUUGGGCUGUUCGCCCAUUAAAGCGGUACGCGAGCUGGGUUCAGAACGUCGUGAGACAGUUCGGUCCAUAUCCGGUGCAUGCGCAGGAAUAUUGAGAGGAUUUCUCCCUAGUACGAGAGGACCGGGAGGAACGCACCUCUGGUGUACCAGUUAUCGUGCCAACGGUAAACGCUGGGUAGCCAUGUGCGGAGUGGAUAACCGCUGAAAGCAUCUAAGUGGGAAGCCCACCUCAAGAUGAGUAUUCCCAUGGCGUUAGCCAGUAAGGUCACGGGCAGAACACCCGUUGAUAGGCUCUACGUGGAAGCGCAGUAAUGUGUGAAGCGGAGGAGUACUAAUAGACCGAGGGCUUGACU
Molecule: ribosomal RNA, 1349 nt
Filed under: metagenome
Description: bacterial LSU rRNA
Rfam family: Bacterial large subunit ribosomal RNA
Source: RNAcentral